Long non-coding RNA from Stegostoma tigrinum, 556 nucleotides. RefSeq lists it as uncharacterized. Lineage: Eukaryota; Metazoa; Chordata; Chondrichthyes; Orectolobiformes; Stegostomatidae. The record is from RefSeq and is a predicted model, not a curated record. The transcript has 3 exons.
ACAGAGUAUAGAGUCUCACUGAAGAUUACUCAGUGCCUCAAGACUGAAUCCAAAGUGCAUCCUGUAAAAACCAAGUCAGAGGCUGCAGGUAUCAGUUAUGCUUCUGUAAUGAAGAACCACCACUUGCUCAGGAACUUUGACAGAAGUCGUUAGAAAGCAAUACAAUCAGAGAAUCUAUCUGACUUCUACCAUUGAUGCAGAGACAUAUGGCAUUAACAUCGUAAGAAACAAAGCAUGAGUUUAUGUGGAAUAUAAUUGAACACAUAAAGUGUUGGGUUUUGGUUAGUAAUUGGGACCAGAAAGAUUUCUGAAGAAGGGUCAAGGCCUGAAACGUCAGCUUUCCUGCUCCUCUGAUGCUGCUCGGCCUGCUGUGUUCAUCGAGCUCUACACCUUGUUAUCUCAGAUUCUCCAGCAUCUGCAAUUCCUACUAUCCCAGAAAAGUUGUUAUCAGUUUUGCAGUUACAGUAUGGUGUUUGAGUUAAUUAUUUGUUGGUUACAAACACCAUACAUAGCAAAUCAGAUAUGUAUCAUAAAAUUACGCUGCUUUUUAUUUGUA